GACGAACGCUGGCGGCGUGCUUAACACAUGCAAGUCGAACGGUGAACCUCCUUCGGGAGGGGAUUAGUGGCGAACGGGUGAGUAACACGUGGGCAAUCUGCCCUUCACUCUGGGACAAGCCCUGGAAACGGGGUCUAAUACCGGAUAACACUGCGGAUCGCAUGGUCUGCGGUUGAAAGCUCCGGCGGUGAAGGAUGAGCCCGCGGCCUAUCAGCUAGUUGGUGGGGUGAUGGCCUACCAAGGCGACGACGGGUAGCCGGCCUGAGAGGGCGACCGGCCACACUGGGACUGAGACACGGCCCAGACUCCUACGGGAGGCAGCAGUGGGGAAUAUUGCACAAUGGGCGAAAGCUGAAUGCAGCGACGCCGCGUGAGGGAUGACGGCCUUCGGGUUGUAAACCUCUUUCAGCAGGGAAGAAGCGAAAGUGACGGUACCUGCAGAAGAAGCGCCGGCUAACUACGUGCCAGCAGCCGCGGUAAUACGUAGGGCGCAAGCGUUGUCCGGAAUUAUUGGGCGUAAAGNGCUCGUAGGCGGCUUGUCACGUCGGAUGUGAAAGCCCGGGGCUUAACCCCGGGUCUGCAUUCGAUACGGGCAGGCUAGAGUGUGGUAGGGGAGAUCGGAAUUCCUGGUGUAGCGGUGAAAUGCGCAGAUAUCAGGAGGAACACCGGUGGCGAAGGCGGAUCUCUGGGCCAUUACUGACGCUGAGGAGCGAAAGCGUGGGGAGCGAACAGGAUUAGAUACCCUGGUAGUCCACGCCGUAAACGUUGGGAACUAGGUGUUGGCGACAUUCCACGUCGUCGGUGCCGCAGCUAACGCAUUAAGUUCCCCGCCUGGCGAGUACGGCCGCAAGCUAAAAACUCAAAGGAAUUGACGGGGGCCCGCACAAGCAGCGGAGCAUGUGGCUUAAUUCGACGCAACGCGAAGAACCUUACCAAGGCUUGACAUCGCCCGGAAAGCAUCAGAGAUGGUGCCCCCCUUGUCGUCGGGUGACAGGUGGUGCAUGGCUGUCGUCAGCUCGUGUCGUGAGAUGUUGAGUUAAGUCCCGCAACGAGCGCAACCCUUGUUCUGUGUUGCCAGCAUGCCCUUCGGGGUGAUGGGGACUCACAGGAGACUGCCGGGGUCAACUCGGAGGAAGGUGGGGACGACGUCAAGUCAUCAUGCCCCUUAUGUCUUGGGCUGCACACGUGCUACAAUGGCCGGUACAAAGAGCUGCGAAGCCGCGAGGCGGAGCGAAUCUCAAAAAGCCGGUCUCAGUUCGGAUUGGGGUCUGCAACUCGACCCCAUGAAGUCGGAGUUGCUAGUAAUCGCAGAUCAGCAUUGCUGCGGUGAAUACGUUCCCGGGCCCUUGUACACACCGCCCGUCACGUCACGAAAGUCGGUAACACCCGAAGCCGGUGGCCCAACCCCUUGUGGGAGGGAGCUGUCGAAGGUGGGACUGGCGAUUGGGACG
Molecule: ribosomal RNA, 1451 nt
Filed under: actinobacterium '#59 white'
Lineage: Bacteria; Bacillati; Actinomycetota; Actinomycetes
Description: bacterial SSU rRNA
Rfam family: Bacterial small subunit ribosomal RNA
Source: RNAcentral